RNAcentral lists this ribosomal RNA (627 nucleotides) under Colletotrichum gloeosporioides. RNAcentral describes it as "eukaryotic LSU rRNA". It matches the Rfam family "Eukaryotic large subunit ribosomal RNA", at positions 1 to 648 of the family's 3401-position model. Lineage: Eukaryota; Fungi; Ascomycota; Sordariomycetes; Glomerellales; Glomerellaceae. The record is from RNAcentral.
GUUGACCUCGGAUCAGGUAGGAAUACCCGCUGAACUUAAGCAUAUCAAUAAGCGGAGGAAAAGAAACCAACAGGGAUUGCCUCAGUAACGGCGAGUGAAGCGGCAACAGCUCAAAUUUGAAAUCUGGCCCCCCGGGUCCGAGUUGUAAUUUGCAGAGGAUGCUUUUGGCGCGGUGCCUUCCGAGUUCCCUGGAACGGGACGCCAUAGAGGGUGAGAGCCCCGUACGGUUGGACACCAAGCCUGUGUAAAGCUCCUUCGACGAGUCGAGUAGUUUGGGAAUGCUGCUCAAAAUGGGAGGUAUAUUUCUUCUAAAGCUAAAUACCGGCCAGAGACCGAUAGCGCACAAGUAGAGUGAUCGAAAGAUGAAAAGCACUUUGAAAAGAGGGUUAAACAGCACGUGAAAUUGUUAAAAGGGAAGCGCUUGUGACCAGACUUGCGCCCGGUGAAUCACCCAGCUCUCGCGGCUGGGGCACUUUGCCGGCUCAGGCCAGCAUCAGCUCGCCGUCGGGGACAAAAGCUUCGGGAACGUAGCUCUCUUCGGGGAGUGUUAUAGCCCGCUGCACAAUACCCUUCGGCGGGCUGAGGUACGCGCUCCGCAAGGAUGCUGGCGUAAUGGUCAUCAGCGAC